Long non-coding RNA from Heterocephalus glaber (naked mole-rat), 1122 nucleotides. RefSeq lists it as uncharacterized. NCBI's taxonomy places the organism in Eukaryota, Metazoa, Chordata, Mammalia, Rodentia, Bathyergidae. The record is from RefSeq and is a predicted model, not a curated record.
ACCUUAGGAUCCGUGUCUUUGAAGAACAAGGCUCACUAAAUAUGAGAUGGUGAACAUGAGAUUCCUAUUUUGGCAGUGCCAGGUCAUGACUGCUGGGGCCUGGUCAGAGAGGAGGUGGACAGGUGGGACCCACUCGGAUGGCCCUGCCCGUAGAGUCUCAGGCAUGCAGCAGGGCUGGGACCUGAUAGCAGUCCCCCAGGUUAACCCCUGGGAGCAAGUCAGCUGGAAGCCCACCUAUGGCUUGGAAAGCAAAGCCCGAGACGUUGGCACCAUAGCACCCUCUGUAUCUCCCUAUUAAGUACUAGAUAAGUGGAUGAAAAAUAGACCCAGAGAAUAUUGGUGUGGCAGAGCUUUCCAAAGCAGCUUUUCUGGCAGAAAUCCAGGUGAGGCAGGGCCCCGCAUGGAACAUGGAAUGAAGAACAUGCCUUGUUUGCUCCCUCUCACAGAUGAGGCAGGGCCCAGCAGGAGGAGAACAGGUGACAAGAGGGUGGUGGAGCAAGGCCUGGUCAAGAAGAGGACUGUCUUCCUUCCCUCCCAUUCUCCAGAAAACUAUCAAGCAUGGGGUCCUGUGGGCCUUAGCUACUCUCUUGGCUCCAGUUACAGACAAGGUCCUUUUACCUCACCCUACACUUCCCUUAUCUCUACCAAUAUAAAUAAACAUGCUGCAUUUGCCUGGGGUCUUCUUCUCCCAUCAGGAGUUAGAGCCCCAGCUGGCCCCCCACCUUUGUUUCUCUUUGUUCUUUUGUAACUUUCUUUCUUUACCUUUUCUCAAUCUCCCACCGUCAUUUCACUAGUGGACCCUUCAGCCACACAGGCCAUGGCAGGUGGACAGUCCUGUGAGUCUUGAUACACAUCUAGUUUUAUGUAGUCCACAUCACAGAACCCAGAGCAGUUCCGACACCCUGAAAUUCUCCCACAUACUUUGUAGUCAGGCCUUCAUCACACCCAGCCCCUGGCAAAUACUGAUCUCUUCUCUGCUUCUGUGAAUUUGCUUUCUCCAUGGUGUUAUGUAAACUUCAUGAUGCAUAGUGUGACCUCAUAAGACUGACACUUUCUCUGGGCAAAAUGUCUUUGAGAUUUAUCCAUGUUGCUGCUUUUUGCUGGUUUGUUUGCAUCCACCUG